GAUGAACGCUAGCGGGAGGCUUAACACAUGCAAGUCGAGGGGCAGCAUGGAGUAGCAAUACUCUGAUGGCGACCGGCAGACGGGUGAGUAACGCGUAUGCAACCUACCCUGUACUGGGGGAUAACCCGGAGAAAUUCGGACUAAUACCCCAUAGAAAUAUCGAGAGGCAUCUUGAGAUAUUUAAAGUUCCGACGGUACGGGAUGGGCAUGCGUAACAUUAGCUAGUUGGUAAGGUAACGGCUUACCAAGGCUUUGAUGUUUAGGGGUCCUGAGAGGGUGAUCCCCCACACUGGUACUGAGACACGGACCAGACUCCUACGGGAGGCAGCAGUGAGGAAUAUUGGUCAAUGGGCGCAAGCCUGAACCAGCCAUCCCGCGUGCAGGAAGACGGCCCUAUGGGUUGUAAACUGCUUUUCCAGGAAGAGAAACUUACGUACGUGUUACGUAAUUGACGGUAUCCUGGGAAUAAGCAUCGGCUAACUCCGUGCCAGCAGCCGCGGUAAUGUGUG
This 509-nucleotide ribosomal RNA is filed under the name uncultured bacterium. Its description in RNAcentral is "bacterial SSU rRNA". It matches the Rfam family "Bacterial small subunit ribosomal RNA", at positions 28 to 529 of the family's 1533-position model. The record is from RNAcentral.